GGCGACGUAGCUCAGCUGGUCAGAGCAGAGGAAUCAUAAUCCUAAGGUCCGGGGUUCGAAUCCCUGCGUCGCUA
This 74-nucleotide transfer RNA is filed under the name Calditrichota bacterium. RNAcentral's name for it is "Calditrichaeota bacterium tRNA-Met". It matches the Rfam family "tRNA". Rfam says of the family: Transfer RNA (tRNA) molecules are approximately 80 nucleotides in length. Their secondary structure includes four short double-helical elements and three loops (D, anti-codon, and T loops). The record is from RNAcentral. Lineage: Bacteria; Pseudomonadati; Calditrichota.